GCAUAUCAAUAAGCGGAGGAAAAGAAACCAACAGGGAUUGCCCUAGUAACGGCGAGUGAAGCGGCAACAGCUCAAAUUUGAAAUCUGGCGCAAGCCCGAGUUGUAAUUUGUAGAGGAUGCUUCUGGGUAGCGGCCGGUCUAAGUUCCUUGGAACAGGACGUCACAGAGGGUGAGAAUCCCGUAUGUGAUCGGCGCGCGCCCUCUACGUAGCUCCUUCGACGAGUCGAGUUGUUUGGGAAUGCAGCUCUAAAUGGGAGGUAAAUUUCUUCUAAAGCUAAAUACUGGCCAGAGACCGAUAGCGCACAAGUAGAGUGAUCGAAAGAUGAAAAGCACUUUGGAAAGAGAGUUAAAAAGCACGUGAAAUUGUUGAAAGGGAAGCGCUUGCAACCAGACUUGCGGGUGGUGUUCCGCCGGGCUUCUGCCCGGUCUACUCACCGCCCGCAGGCCAUCAUCGUCUGGGGCCGCCGGAGAAACCGUCAGGAAUGUGGCUCCCUCGGGAGUGUUAUAGCCUGUCGACAUGCGGCGCGCCCCGGGCGAGGUCCGCGCAAUGCAAGGAUGAUGGCGUAAUGGUUGUCAGCGGCCCGUCUUGAAACACGGACCAAGGAGUCUAACAUCUAUGCGAGUGUUCGGGUGUCAAACCCCUACGCGUAAUGAAAGUGAACGGAGGUGGGAGCUUCGGCGCACCAUCGACCGAUCCUGAUGUCCUCGGAUGGAUUUGAGUAAGAGCAUAGCUGUUGGGACCCGAAAGAUGGUGAACUAUGCCUGAAUAGGGUGAAGCCAGAGGAAACUCUGGUGGAGGCUCGCAGCGGUUCUGACGUGCAAAUCGAUCGUCAAAUUUGGGUAUAGGGGCGAAAGACUAAUCGAACCAUCUAGUAGCUGGUUCCUGCG
Molecule: ribosomal RNA, 888 nt
Filed under: Dissoconium aciculare
Lineage: Eukaryota; Fungi; Ascomycota; Dothideomycetes; Mycosphaerellales; Dissoconiaceae
Description: LSU rRNA
Rfam family: Eukaryotic large subunit ribosomal RNA
Source: RNAcentral